UUUUGGUCUGUUCGACCAUUGAAUUUUUACAUGAUCUGAGUUCAGACCGGUGUAAGCCAGGUCGGUUUCUAUCUUUAUUUAAUUAAAAUAUUUUAGUACGAAAGGACCAAAUAUUAAUUAUAAUUAUAUUUAUUUAUUUUGAAUAUUAUU
This 150-nucleotide ribosomal RNA is filed under the name Carabhydrus niger. RNAcentral describes it as "partial 16S ribosomal RNA". Lineage: Eukaryota; Metazoa; Arthropoda; Insecta; Coleoptera; Dytiscidae. The record is from RNAcentral.